GAUGAAGAACGUAGCGAAAUGCGAUAAGUAAUGCGAAUUGCAGAAUUCAGUGAAUCAUCGAAUCUUUGAACGCACAUUGCGCCCCUUGGUACUCCAUGGGGCAUGCCUGUUCGAGCGUCAUUUACACCCUCAAGCUCAGCUUGGUGUUGGGCGUCUGUCCCGCUUCGUGCGCGGACUCGCCUCAAAUGCAUUGGCAGCGGUCUUGCCAGCUUCUCGCGCAGCACAUUGCGCUUCUAGAGGCUUUGGCGGAUCGGCGUCCAUCAAGUACACCCACAGUUUGACCUCGGAUCAGGUAGGGAUACCCGCUGAACUUAAGCAUAUCAAUAAGCGGAGGA
Molecule: unclassified non-coding RNA, 335 nt
Filed under: soil metagenome
Description: partial contains 5.8S ribosomal RNA, internal transcribed spacer 2, and large subunit ribosomal RNA
Rfam family: 5.8S ribosomal RNA (bases 1-120)
Source: RNAcentral